This 326-nucleotide ribosomal RNA is filed under the name Gallibacterium anatis. RNAcentral's name for it is "bacterial LSU rRNA". It matches the Rfam family "Bacterial large subunit ribosomal RNA", at positions 1188 to 1518 of the family's 2925-position model. Lineage: Bacteria; Pseudomonadati; Pseudomonadota; Gammaproteobacteria; Pasteurellales; Pasteurellaceae. The record is from RNAcentral.
AUAGCACCGAAGCUGUGGCAUCAAGAGAAAUCUUGUUGGGUAGGGGAGCGUUGUGUAAGCUGAAGAAGGUGGUUCGAGAGGGCUGCUGGAGGUAUCACAAGUGCGAAUGCUGACAUAAGUAACGAUAAAACGGGUGAAAAACCCGUUCGCCGGAAGACCAAGGGUUCCUGUCCAACGUUAAUCGGGGCAGGGUGAGUCGGCCCCUAAGGCGAGGCUGAAAAGCGUAGUCGAUGGGAAACGGGUUAAUAUUCCCGUACUUGGUAAAGCUGCGAUGUGGGGACGGAGAAGGUUAGGUUAUCGACCUGUUGGAGAUGGUCGUUUAAGUU